RNAcentral lists this long non-coding RNA (1246 nucleotides) under Homo sapiens (human). RNAcentral's name for it is "HSALNT0009707". The record is from RNAcentral. Lineage: Eukaryota; Metazoa; Chordata; Mammalia; Primates; Hominidae.
CCAGCUGUAUAAAGAGUGAGAUGAUGAGUUUGGGCACUCCUUGCGCAUCUAUGUGCCCAGCCCUCAAAAUAAUGGAACAACAACAAAAACCGUGCCUGGAUUAGUUUACGUUUUACUUGAGGGAAACCUAAAAUGAGCAUACAAAUAAAUUAUGGUAAAGUUACUGAUGGAACUGAAGGGAGGACAUGAAAGAGUCAAGGAUGACUCCAAGACUUUCGACCUGAGUGAUUCAAAGGAUGGAGUUACCAUCAGGUGAAAUGCGGGAAAGUUCAGAUGGAACAAAUCUGAGAGGUAAGAUCAAGAUUUCAGUUUUGGAAAUGUUAAGUUUGAGAUACUUUUUAGUGAUCUGAUUGGUGGUGUCAACUAGUCAGUUGGGAUGUAUGAUUCUGCAGCAGGACAGAGAGGUGUGGGCUAAAGAUCAAACUUUGGAAGUAAUUGGCACAUAGGUAGUAUUUCAAACCAUUAGAAUGAGUGUAGAUAGAAAACUGAAAAAAGAAGAUCAAGGACUGAACCCUGGAGGAGUCCUGCAUGAAGAGAUGGAAAGAAAAGGAGGACCCAGCAAAGGAGAAGGAGAAGAGAAAAUCAAGAGAGUAGAAUGUCAUGGAAACAUUAAAAAAUUACUACUAAUUUUAUCAGGGAAGUCUGGAAGUGCUGGUAAAUUGUCAAGCUAACAGUGAUGGAUACAGCUUUUCUUACUUAAUCCCUAGGUUGCAUAGAGAUUUUCACUUGAAUAAGGGCUUUCUUGGCUCCAGGUCACUGAUAGUGGUUCUCUGCAAUGCAGGAUGUGGAGAUUUGGAAUGAGAUUUAACAGAUCCCUGAUCUAACUGGAAGAAAGCUGAGCUCUGGGCCAUAUGGAUCCUUUAAAAGAGACAGAUGCAUGAAGUUUGGAGCAGUGAAGAUCUCAAUCCAGGCAUUGAAUGGCAUUGGAAAAGAACAGUGCUGUAGAAGUCAGAAGAUUGUCUCUACCAGUAAAUGCUGGCUGGCUCCCCUUCACCUUCUACUAUGAGUGGAAACAAGCUGAAGCCCUCACCAGAAAGAGACACCAUCACCAUGCUUCUUGUACAACCUGCAGAACCCUUAGCUAAUUUAUUUCUCUGCUACAGAAACUUGGAACUUUGCUGUACAGAGAAGACUGAGGGGACUGCUUGAGAAGAUAACCAAAGACGGGAAUCGAGAUUUGGACCUACCUCUUACCACUAUCCUCAUGAUGGAGAGGCAAAGGAUUUGCUCUGUACCUGACUGCAUU